Amphimedon queenslandica is the source of this 671-nucleotide long non-coding RNA. RefSeq lists it as uncharacterized. The record is from RefSeq and is a predicted model, not a curated record. The transcript is spliced from 5 exons. Lineage: Eukaryota; Metazoa; Porifera; Demospongiae; Haplosclerida; Niphatidae.
UGCGUGGUAAUCAGCACCAACCAGUGUUGUAUGAUCACAUAUGUAAAGAGAUGAAUCCAUUGGUUGCUGCUCGUAUGAGGUACAUACCAAUUGGGCCUGGAUCAGACUGGAGGGGCCUUCCUAAUAAAUGUAUUAGACUCUCUGAUGGAACUACUGCACCCAAACUUCAAUAUACUCAUCAUGAUAAAAAGAAUGGCAGAGCUAAGAAUAAGUCAUUAAGAGGUGUCUGUUCCUGUGCCACUGGUCAACCUUGUGAUUCCUCUUAUAGGCAGUAUAUGGGACCCUUAUACCAUGGUGCUUACCACAUACAGGCAAUAGACACAAUCAUUGGGCUGGGCUCUAUGGGAGGUUAGAAUGGGACGGGUUCUUUAGUACAACUGUUACGAAUCCAGAACCAAUGGGGAAGCAAGAUUUGUCCUUCAUCCAGAGCAGCAUCAAGUGGUGAGUGUGAGGGAGUGUGCUCGGUCACAGGGAUUCCCUGAUACUUUCCAUUUCUUUGGAACAAUACUUGAUAAACACAGACAGGUUGGUAAUGCUGUCCCACCUCCAUUGGCUAAAGCCAUUGGUUUAGAAAUAAGAGAUCAGUAGAGAAGAAAGAUAAAUAACAUCAGGAACUAUCCAGCACUGCUUUUUAUGAGAUACAUUAAUGCUAUAGCUAUAAUUAUCACUAA